GAGCUUGCUAUUUAAACAGAUCCAAUGGGAAAGGAAUAUUUUUAUAAACAGAGAAGGCGCUCUCUGUCUCUCUCUUUCAGGCUUAAGGUUACACUUUGGAAACUUCAGAAGAAGUAAGAACUAAAGAGGGAUGGGAAAUGCAUUUUCCCCCCCCAAAUCAAUUCCUGGAGUCGGCUGUGCCCCGAGAAAGCAGACACGUGAUUCCCCACGGUACAGGUCAUACAGCACUUGCUCCGAACAGCCGAGUCCUCGAGUCUGUCCCCGCCCGCGUUUCUGCGUGGCGUGGACCUGUUUCACUUACAGACUAGCAGGGCAGCACAUGGAUUUCUACUUCCUCGUCCACGUCCUCUGGCUGGUUAAUCUGCUGAGUCUGCGGCGGAGAGAAGCCAUUGCUGAGGUCUGGCCCCGAUACUGUGGUGCCCUCAUCAUCCUGGUGAUCUUCCAGCACCUUCUGCAUCUCAGGCUGCCCCCUGCUCUCUGAAGAGGUAACCCACCUGCCCACCACUGGAUCCUUCAAGCGGGGGAAACGCCGAGUUUUGGCAAACGCCGACUUUGCUCUGGACGCGUAGGGUGUCCUUGUGUGGAGGAGCUAGGGGUCCUUCUUGGAGAGGAUUGCUGCCCUGAGGAAUUUCAGGCCGAGGAAACGAUUUGGCCCGACCCCUGGGGCGUCUUGUUCUAGGGGUGAUAACUGCUGUUGACACAGGCCGAGAACGGGGUCACAGCCCCCGAGCUAACCCAGACUUGCCUAGAGAGGAGGGGUUGUCUGACUCUGCCCUGAAAAGCAAAUUAAAAGGGAAAGAGCAAGAAACAGGAGAAGGAUGCAGCUUCCACCUGAGUAUACGCUCCGCUGCCCAAACACUUCCCACCUCUUUUCCCCACAGCCAUCCUGGGAGGGAAAGUCAGUGGGCACCAGCACCCCCACUGUACAGAUGAGGAAGCUGAGGCUGAAGGGAGAGGCGCAUGGGCUGCCCAAGGGCGCGGGGCCGAGUGUGCUGCCUGCCGCCUCCUGGCUGAGGAUGACCCACGGAGAACCACAAGUACAGAAAUGCAUUCGAAACUCAUCAAAGGGUUGUAUCUCCAGACCUGGCCGAGAAGCCGGAUGCCGAUUUGUUACUCUUUGACUUCUUGCUUCUCCUGGUGGCCUCCCUGCAGUGGCAACUGUCUGUGGAUGAGAACACAGCGCCUGUGAGGAUAAAGGCCAGGGACAAUGUGGAGGUCAGCCGAGACCUCCGGCCAGAUGACCUCGCCCAGCUCAGCCCUGUCCCCAACUUCAUCUUCUGCCAGUAAGAACGGAGAUCGUGGUCCUGGACACCACUGGGGGGUGGGGUGGGGCAUCUCCACUCCCUCCCAGCCUCGUGGACAAAAGAAUUCUUCCCUUGGGAGAAGAAAUCACUAUGGUUUUCUUUCCUUAAUUAAAAAAUUAAAAUUGAUGUGUAAUUUACAUACAGUGAAACGUCCGGAUCUUAGUUAUACCAUGCAAUCAGUGCUGGGGUGUGGAGCCAAGACACUGAAGCCUUCCAUCAUCCCAGAAACUUCCCUCCCUCCUCUGCCUAGUCAGUUCUUUCCCCAGGCACCCACCGAUCUGAGUUCUGCAUCACAGGUUCGUUUUACCUACUCCAGAACUUCAUCUAAAUAGAAUUGUAGGCAAUGCACUUUUUGGAGUCUGGUUUCCUUUACUCAUCGUGGUGCUUCUGAGAUCCAUUCACCUUGUAGCAUGUUUCAGUACAUCGUUCCUUUUUAUUGCCAAGUAGCGUUCCCCCUGUAUGAAUAUUCCACAUUGUGAUCAUCCAUGAGUAGAUGAACAUCUGAGUUGCUCCCAGCCUGGGGUUAAUA
Vicugna pacos (alpaca) is the source of this 1833-nucleotide non-coding RNA. Lineage: Eukaryota; Metazoa; Chordata; Mammalia; Artiodactyla; Camelidae. The record is from RefSeq and is a predicted model, not a curated record.